UCCUUAGCGACAGGAUUUGGCUAAGAUGCUGCUACCUCCCCUGCACUUCACGUCUGCCUCCGAGGCUCGCCAUGGCCGCAAUGAACCCUAACCGGCCCUCCUUCCUGGCCCCACGCCUACCAGAUUGAGGGGCCUGGCCCUGGGCAUCUGAUUGGCUAAACUCGAGUCACAAGCUCGCACCUGGUGGCCAGAGCACUACACAGCCAGGGAGGAGGGGGUCAUGAUCCUCUGGUUUCAGAGAAGAGGGGUGCCCAGCCUGUCCGCUGUCCGCACAAAAUGAGGAGCUGCCUACAAACAGGAUAUGGAGAACAGACAAAAGACAAAUAUCAACAAAUAUCUGCCAUGUUAUUUUAUAUUCUUUGUCCAACGCCUGCUUAUGUUGGUUACAAACGGCAGAAACCCAGUUCCAAGUGUAAGCGAGAGGAAACCACAGGCUAUAUAAUCAAGGUCAGGUGACGUGGCUUCCAGUAGGGCCAAACUGAGGGCCUCAAAUGAUCUCAUCUGCUUGGUUUCGUUCCUCAGGCAGACCCUCUCCCUCUGGGCCUCACACCAGCCAGCAGCUUCUCACCACCUGCCAACAGGAGGGAGCUCGCCCCGCUUCCCCGCCAGCCUCUGAUCCGCCGCACCUCCUCCAAGACUGAUAGAUCUUCUUGGCAAAGCUGCCCCCAAAGAUUCCUGCUAACACUUGUCUGUUCCUGCCUCUUGCGAAGCAUGGCACCCACAGGACUCUGGGAAGAAUCUUAAACCUGAGCCUCUGCAGCUGCUCCAGAGGGCGCUCUGUGUGGCUCAUUUACCGUCCCACUCGGCUCCAGGAGCUGCUCUUAUCCUAGCGAUGCCCUCGGGAGCCUUAGCCCCAGCUGGGUGAGACCAUUCCAGAGCGGGACACAACCUUGCCACCGCCGAGACUCCCACACCGCCCCCACCACCUCCCAUGCCUGGCUGCCCCGGCAGACUCUAGAAUGUCCGUGCCCCAGAUCCAAGUAGAAGAAGUGGUGGGUGAGGAAGAUGGGCUGGCAGGAGCAGC
Molecule: long non-coding RNA, 1024 nt
Filed under: Equus asinus (donkey)
Lineage: Eukaryota; Metazoa; Chordata; Mammalia; Perissodactyla; Equidae
Description: lncRNA (ENSEASG00005032758.1)
Source: RNAcentral